RNAcentral lists this ribosomal RNA (450 nucleotides) under uncultured bacterium. RNAcentral describes it as "partial 16S ribosomal RNA". It matches the Rfam family "Bacterial small subunit ribosomal RNA", at positions 355 to 797 of the family's 1533-position model. The record is from RNAcentral.
UAGGGAAUCUUCCACAAUGGACGCAAGUCUGAUGGAGCAACGCCGCGUGAGUGAAGAAGGCUUUCGGGUCGUAAAACUCUGUUAUUGAAGAAGAACGUGUGUGACAGUAACUGGUCAUGCAGUGACGGUAUUCAAUCAGAAAGUCACGGCUAACUACGUGCCAGCAGCCGCGGUAAUACGUAGGUGGCAAGCGUUGUCCGGAUUUAUUGGGCGUAAAGCGAGUGCAGGCGGUCUUUUAAGUCUGAUGUGAAAGCCUUCGGCUUAACCGAAGAAGGGCAUCGGAAACUGGGAGACUUGAGUGCAGAAGAGGAGAGUGGAACUCCAUGUGUAGCGGUGAAAUGCGUAGAUAUAUGGAAGAACACCAGUGGCGAAGGCGGCUCUCUGGUCUGUAACUGACGCUGAGGCUCGAAAGCGUGGGUAGCAAACAGGAUUAGAUACCCUGGUAGUCCA